CCUACGGGAGGCAGCAGUAAGGAAUAUUGGUCAAUGGGCGCAAGCCUGAACCAGCCAUGCCGCGUGCAGGAAGACGGCCCUAUGGGUUGUAAACUGCUUUUGAACAAGAGAAAACCUCGGUACGUGUACCGAGCUGAUAGUAUUGUUAGAAUAAGCAUCGGCUAACUUCGUGCCAGCAGCCGCGGUAAGACGAAGGAUGCAAGCGUUAUCCGGAUUCAUUGGGUUUAAAGGGUGCGUAGGCGGCCUGAUAAGUCAGUGGUGAAAUCUCUCAGCUUAACUGAGAAACUGCCAUUGAUACUGUCGGGCUUGAGUACAGAUGAUGUGGGCGGAAUAUGACAUGUAGUGGUGAAAUACUUAGAUAUGUCAUAGAACACCGAUUGCGAAGGCAGCUCACAAAACUGUAACUGACGCUGAGGCACGAAAGUGCGGGGAUCAAACAGGAUUAGAUACCCUGGUAGUCCGCACCGUAAACGAUGAUUACUCGUUGUUGGCAAUAUGACCGUCAGCGACCAAGCGAAAGCGAAUAAGUAAUUCCACCUGGGGAGUUACGCCGGCACGGUUGAACUUCAAGGAAUUGAGGCUUGAGACGNGCGAGGACGACGACGAGGAGAG
This 612-nucleotide ribosomal RNA is filed under the name uncultured bacterium. RNAcentral describes it as "bacterial SSU rRNA". It matches the Rfam family "Bacterial small subunit ribosomal RNA", at positions 338 to 960 of the family's 1533-position model. The record is from RNAcentral.